Molecule: ribosomal RNA, 646 nt
Filed under: Leuconostoc fallax
Lineage: Bacteria; Bacillati; Bacillota; Bacilli; Lactobacillales; Lactobacillaceae
Description: partial 16S ribosomal RNA
Rfam family: Bacterial small subunit ribosomal RNA
Source: RNAcentral
UAAUGAUCAAAUGUGGAGGAACAUACAAUAAACGGUCAGACGUAAAGCAUAUGGCUAGAGUGGCGAACGGGUGAGUAACACGUGGACAACCUGCCUCUAAGCAGGGGAUAACAUUUGGAAACAGAUGCUAAUACCGUAUAACAACACAUUUCGCAUGAAGUGUGUUUAAAAGGGGCUUCGGCCUCACUUAGAGAUGGAUCCGCGGUGCAUUAGUUAGUUGGUGAGGUAAAGGCUUACCAAGACGAUGAUGCAUAGCCUAGUUGAGAGCUGAUCGGCCACAUUGGGACUGAGACACGGCCCAAAUUCAUUCUGCAGGGCGGAUUAGGGAUGCCUCUAGACAGACUGCCGGUGACAAACCGGAGGAUGGCGGGGAUGACGUCAGAUCAUCAUGCCCCUUAUGACCUGGGCUACACACGUGCUACAAUGGCGUAUACAACGAGUUGCGAACCGGCGACGGUAAGCUAAUCUCUUAAAGUACGUCUCAGUUCGGAUUGUAGUCUGCAACUCGACUACAUGAAGUCGGAAUCGCUAGUAAUCGCGGAUCAGCAUGCCGCGGUGAAUACGUUCCCGGGUCUGGUACACACCGCCCGCACACCAUGACGACGUUUGUACCUUUCAGGGUCCCCUUGCCACUGAACCAACCCCA